Molecule: non-coding RNA, 124 nt
Organism: Gossypium raimondii (Peruvian cotton)
Lineage: Eukaryota; Viridiplantae; Streptophyta; Magnoliopsida; Malvales; Malvaceae
Source: Rfam
UGUUAAAAUUUUUAUCCAAUUGUAUUGUUAAAAGUGGCAUGGCUAACAGAAUAAUCAGACGUGUAUCUUAUGCUAAUGUACAAAGAUAAGUUUUUAAUAGAAGAAAUGAAUAAAAUUUUUAACA